Zootermopsis nevadensis is the source of this 3755-nucleotide non-coding RNA. The record is from RefSeq and is a predicted model, not a curated record. Lineage: Eukaryota; Metazoa; Arthropoda; Insecta; Blattodea; Termopsidae.
AAAGUACAUAUAUCUUUUUGUCUUCAUAUGGAUUUUUAUUUUCUAUAUCAUGGUAGUUGGAACUACGUGACGCAGUCACAGAAACAAAACCCUCAUUGCAUUAUCAGCGUUUCAUUUUUUUGUGAUAUUCUAUUUGGAGAUUAUCAAUUACCAAGGAAACUUCGCUCUUUUGUUUUCUGCGUGCGUCUUCGCAGACAUCAGAGGCCAGAGAGACAAUUUUUGUUCCACUGCCAACAAUUGAAGUGAACGAACCGAACAGUUGAUAUAUAAGUACGGUUUAUGGCAUGGAGUUGUAAGUGCUUUUCGAAUUUGAGGUUAGAAUAACGUCUCAAUGUAAGUAGUUCUGUAAGUAAGUUUUCGACAAAUUGUCUUUGCCCGCUUGAGUGAUAGAAUUUCGGCGAAAAUUACAUUGCGAAUAGAAUAAAACUAUUUAGAUUUUAUAGAUCCUUUGUAUGCCCUAGUUGAGGAUGUAGUAGUCAUGGAGUUAGUGACUAAACUGUCAUCCAUAUUUGACAAUAUUGAGACUGAUUCAUUAAAUCCAACAGAGGAAUAUGAGACGGUGUGUGCAUCUUUGCACGUACUGAACUGUCCAAUGUCAGAAUAUCUGGGGAAGAAUGUGAUGUGUGCUGGUGAGCUAUGCUCCUCCACCUCAUCUGCACACCCCUCUUCUUCAGCAAUUCCCCCACGAUUAACAUACGGCUGUUGGCGGGUAUGACACGGAGUGGGGUACGGAGAACCAUUGUACCCACUAAACUCAGGACUUGGCGGAGGUGCUGGGGUCUCUGCCUCUUCACUGUCAUCAUUCAUAUUGCAGUCAAAUGGAAUGUCAAGACUUCUGCGCUUCCACAUCUUUGUCAGGUGUUCUUUGUGUCUAGGAGGUUGUAGUGGAAAGAAAUUGAUGCUGAAUGCUCUAGUUACUGCUGAAGAGAGAAACCCAUUUUACCAUUGAUCUGAAGAUUCGAGAAGAAGGAAUGUUGCUGGUCCUACAAGGCAUUCUCCAUUCUGUUUGUUUAUGCCAUCAUGUGAAACAGAAGAAUGUGUCUUAAACCUUGUAUAUAUUGCAGAUAAUGAUGAUGACUUCUCAGGCAGUGAGCUGUGUCAAGAGGUUUAACCCACCUGACUAUUCUGUUAAUUGAGGUGAAAGUGGUAACUGAACAUUGUGUUUGCUGGUUUUAUUUACUUGUAACUGCUGAAAAACUGAAUGGAAAUGGCACAGAACUUGUGCUGUAGGAGUAUGUAUUGUGUGAUCCUCAGAGGAUCUGCUGCUUUUGAAGUUCAGGUCCUGUAUAAGAGGGAGCUUUAUUGAUUUGGAAGGUUUGAAGUUCUCUCAAUGGGGAAGGAACAUGUGUCAUCUGGAUUGUAUCACUAUGUAAUCUAGUAGAAGUUUUCCAACAUUUCAGAGGUGGUUGCUGCCUCCAUCAUCAGGUUGAUGGGGCUGUGCUACAGUGCUACAACCCAGAAGACGGCUUUUUUGUGUGUGAGAGGCUAGUUCAUAUCAGUUUGAUUUCUUGUACUGACUGUUCCCUUCAGUAUUAAGUUUAAUAAUUUAAUUGUAUAAAACAAAUAAUUUACAUAAUGUGAUCAGUAGAUCAUCUAGGCAUUAGAUUGUGGUUUUACAUGUAGGGGUGAUGAAACUUUGUGCAGAAUGUAAAACUGCAUUACAUUGUAGGAUACGAGGUUUUUACAGCUGUCUCAUGAUGGUUGUCUUCUGUCUUGUGCAUGUACUCUGGUAGAAGAGGAAACUUCUACCAGACGACGGGGCACAGCUUCCUGCACUACAUCAGUUACAGUGUUAAAUUGGUUGUUGUGUUCUUGGUAUCAGCUUUUACUGUGAUGUAAUGUGUACUGUAAUCAUGUUUCUUCCCCUUCAUUUUCCUGUGCUGUCACUGAAUGAAGUGGAACCAGUGUCUUUGUCGUUACCCUCUCCCCAAGGUUACCUGCUACAUGGCAGCCUUUGGAUUCAGUGAUUUGAAGGCAAUUCCUGAACAGUUGUCCUUUUUGAUAACUCAGGUAAUGUACAAGAAGUGUUUGCAAGUGGUUUGUGGAAAAUGGUGUCUUGACAUCUUAGUACUGGAGGUAUAGUAGGCUAGUUGAUGUAGGAAAAUUCCAGUAUAGUAAACUACUCUUUGAUAUUUACUGAGGUUAGAAAUUGGCACUAGAAGGUAUCUAUCUUGUUCUCAUAUUGUGAACAUCAGGAACUUCCGUGUUAUCCACUUCAAAUGAUUGUAGUGAGAGAAAAUUUGCAGGGUAGAGGGAGAAUAUUAAGCUUGGAUGAUUCACUGCAAGGGAGACCUUUAAGUGCUUGCCAUUAUUCUAAUCUUGAAUUUAAAAUACUUUUUCCUGCCCUUUUUAAUUUCCCCAGAAAAUUGUUCUACAUAGCAUGGUGGAAUGGAAGUUAAAUUUUGUGUUUUCAUGAGUGCUGCAAUUGACCUUAAGGCAAAACAUGCUGAUCCUAGUUUAGGUAUAUAGUAUUGAAUAUCUUUGCUUCCAGUUAAACUUGUUGAUUUGUAGGCCAAGAAAUUUCCUUGAUUACUUUAUCAUCAUACCCUAUAUUUAGAUUUAUGCAAGUUCUGUUAGUAAAAAAUUUGAGUUUAUUGGCUUUAAUCCAUUUGUUCAAUCUAGUAAACACAUUUAUGCAGUUUUGAAAACAAUUUCUUGAUGUGAAAUAAUAUUGCUAUCAUCAGCAAACACUAUAGAUUUAGAAUGGGAGUUGAUCGCUGGGGGCAGAUCAUUGAUAUUUACGAGAAAAAGCAGACGAAAGUAUUAAAACUUCAGGCACUUUAUGUUUUACUAUGCCCAAAUUUAAGUAGGUGCUAUCAUUUGAAUUUGAUGAUUUUAUUUCUGCUUGUUGCUUUCUGUCCUGAAGUUGUGAUUUAAACCACUUGCCAGCUAUAUUUUGAAUUUCAUGAAACUUUGGUUUUAAUAGUAAUAGUUCCAUGAUUUACACAAUUUAAUGUCUUUGCAAGAUAUUUCACCAAGAUGCCCUGUAUCUCAUCUGUAAAACCGAACAGGGCUUUAACAGUUAAAAGGAAUAUACUGUAACUAAAAGUUAAAGUUACAAGUGUUGUGUGAUAUGUAGCAAUUCAAAAUAUUUUUAUAACCUUGGUUUGUUGAGAACAUUUGAAUAAUACGGACGCUGAAGGCAAGAACAAUGAAAAACAAAACACUUUCAAAGAUUGCAGCUGAAUACAAUAGCGCAACAUCCUAAAUUGAGCUAGAUAUGUCUAAUUUGAGAUAUUUUAAAUCAUACGUUGAUUCUCUUAUUUCUACUGUAUUCAACUCAUUUUGUACGCUUGGCGGAGGAUGGUCAGUUUUUCCGAAGCCUGUUGUCGACGUAUUUGUACUUCUUGGUGUUGCCUGGCAAGCCUAAUGAACAUGGCGUGAUUUCUGUUCUUCAGUAUCAAGUUUUCUUGUUUAAUUUUUGAUGCCUGGGUGUGGUUUUGUUCGGUUACUUUGUAGCGUGAUUCAAGGUGUUUCUUCAGUGAGGAAAUUUUGUCAAUCAGCCUUUGUCUGUUGAAUGUUUUGUCACAAUAGUCGUGUGUAUUUGUUACUUGUGCUGUAUGCCCCUCCAUAGUCUGAAUAAUUCCUUGGUGAUGUAUCUUUUGACUGAUUAAGGUUAGUUUGGCUCUAUUUUGAGACCAUAUUAUUUUGUCAAUUUCAUUGUCAAGUUUUUCGUUAUUUUGUUGGAGAUGCUGUGUAAGUUUAUUCAUUUUACUUAGACUGUAAUCCAUUUCUGAAAAAUUCAUUCCAAGCUC